GCUCAAAUUUAAAAUCUGGCGGUCUACGGCUGUCCGAGUUGUAAUCUAGAGAAGUGCCUACCCGCGCCGACCGUGCAUAAGUCUCCUGGAACGGAGCGUCACAGAGGGUGAGAAUCCCGUCUUUGGCAUGGACUCCCGGGGCUUUGUGGUGCGCUUUCGAAGAGUCGAGUUGUUUGGGAAUGCAGCUCAAAAUGGGUGGUAAAUUCCAUCUAAAGCUAAAUAUUGGCGAGAGACCGAUAGCGAACAAGUACCGUGAGGGAAAGAUGAAAAGCACUUUGGAAAGAGAGUUAAACAGUACGUGAAAUUGUUGAAAGGGAAACGCUUGAAGUCAGUCACAUUGGCCGGGGAUCAACCUUGCAAUUUUGCGUGAGGUGUACUUCCCAGUCGAUGGGUCAGCAUCAGUUUUAACCGCUGGAGAAGGGUCAGGGGAAUGUGGCACCUUUGGGUGCGUUAUAGCCCCUGGUUACAUGUGGUGGUUGAGACUGAGGAACUCAGCGCGCCGAAAGGCCGGGCCUUUUGGCCACGUUCGCGCUUGGGAUGCUGGCAUAAUGGCUUUAAUCGACCCGUCUUGAAACACGGACCAAGGAGUCUAACAUGCCUUCGAGUGUUUUGGGUGGAAAAACCCAUACGCGCAAUGAAAGUGAAAGUUGAGACCUCUGUCGUGGAGGGCAUCGACCGCCCGGACCGGAGCUUCUGCGAUGGAAUCCCGCGGUGGAGCAUGCAUGCUGGGACCCCGAAAGAUGGUGAACUAUGCCUUGAAUAGGGGUGAAAGCCAGAGGAAAACUC
This 786-nucleotide ribosomal RNA is filed under the name Volvariella sp. RNAcentral's name for it is "partial large subunit ribosomal RNA". It matches the Rfam family "Eukaryotic large subunit ribosomal RNA", at positions 107 to 864 of the family's 3401-position model. Lineage: Eukaryota; Fungi; Basidiomycota; Agaricomycetes; Agaricales; Pluteaceae. The record is from RNAcentral.